GCAGCUGAUAGGUAAUUCCCCAAAAUUCCUUCCCUGCUUGUUCAGAGAUGGCGUGUGUUUUUUCGGUUUGUUGUGGUUAUUGAGGAAAGCCUUUUAACUAAAAUUACUUUUCUCAACCUUUUUUACCGUGCGUGUUCCUCUUAAUUUUUCCCUGAAGUUUCGCUGAAAUCAUGUUUUCAUUUCUGGUCCAACGAUGAUCUUUAAGUGGAAACCGAGUGUUUGAAACUCCUCAACGUUUGUUAUUCUUAUUUCCAACGAAUUAUUUCUCGCAUUUAUUCAUCGUUUUGUGUUGAACUGCAGUUUAUGUUUACGGAAAAUGUUCCACAAAUUACGGCUAAAGGUCCGACUGUCCAAGUGCUGAUAUUUCCGAUCCAUUUUCUCCGAAAUGUGAAAACCUUUGCCUCGCUUAGACUUGGUGUGUAUUAGUGAAGGCCAGAGAGCAGUAACAACAUUCAGUUUUCUUUCUGAUGAAUGAAUUGUAGCCAAGGGAAAUGAGCCACAACAUGGGAGGAAUGGCACCCUAUGUCAAGUAAGUAUUAAAUUUGCUCAAAUUUUCCCAAUUGCCAAUAAGAAGAGCCCAACAAAGAGGAAGGUACAAAGUGGCAAAUGGAUGAUUUUUCCUUAUUGCUUACUCAAUACUAAAGUUUUGUCAUUCCCGUAUGCAGAAGUUGGGACUCACCUGAGCAGUAUUUUCACUCUCAUAUCUAGGUAUUGACAAGUAAAUACCAUGAAGGUUCACGAAGUCAGCUCCCCCAAACCCCUAAACUGAUUGAGUGGAAAAUGUAACUAUCUCCAGUAUGUGCUUCAGUCUCCGCAAUUCAGUCCCUUUAUCUGUUUGGUUUCUCUACUUAAUCCUUGCGAUCACUUCAAGGUAACUGACAUGAGGAGGUCACAUAGCAUCCCUCUUAGAUUUUGAUUGGAACAUGGCCAGACUUUUCUUCAUGCAAAACUAUUGGACCCCCAUUUUGUUGUUAUUGCAAAUGGACCCUGAAUGUUAAAAAAAUUCAAAAAAUUGGUACAACACAUCACUUGUUAAAGUGGCAAAAUAACGAAUCUCUUAAUUUCCUUUGAUAUGAUCCUAGUAACCAAAAAUAAGUUGAA
This 1101-nucleotide long non-coding RNA is filed under the name Bemisia tabaci. Its description in RNAcentral is "lncRNA ENSASIAIIG006658". The record is from RNAcentral. Lineage: Eukaryota; Metazoa; Arthropoda; Insecta; Hemiptera; Aleyrodidae.